This 18-nucleotide ribosomal RNA is filed under the name uncultured Symbiodinium. Its description in RNAcentral is "partial 28S ribosomal RNA". The record is from RNAcentral. Lineage: Eukaryota; Dinophyceae; Suessiales; Symbiodiniaceae.
UAGCAUGACGUCAGACAA